UGAAGCUAGUGUCUUUGCAGU
This 21-nucleotide non-coding RNA is filed under the name Caenorhabditis elegans. The record is from RNAcentral. Lineage: Eukaryota; Metazoa; Nematoda; Chromadorea; Rhabditida; Rhabditidae.